CCCUUGGCAGUCAGACGGUGAGUGAUAAGAUCCAUCGUCGAAAGGGAAACAGCCCAGACCACCAGCUAAGGCCCCUAAAUGUAUGUUAAGUGGAAAAGGAGGUGGGGUUGCUUAGACAACUAGGAUGUUGGCUUAGAAGCAGCCAUCAUUGAAAGAGUGCGUAAUAGCUCACUAGUCGAGUGACCCUGCGCCGAAAAUGUACCGGGGCUAAACAUACUGCCGAAGCUGUGGAAAACACCUUAGGUGUUUUGGUAGGAGAGCGUUCUAAGGGCGGUGAAGGUCGACUGAAAAGACGGCUGGAGCGCUUAGAAGUGAGAAUGCCGGUAUGAGUAGCGAAAGACAGGUGAGAAUCCUGUCCACCGUAAGACGAAGGUUUCCUGGGGAAGGCUCGUCCGCCCAGGGUUAGUCGGGACCUAAGCUGAGGCCGAAAGGCGUAAGCGAUGGCCAACAGGUUGAUAUUCCUGUACCUGUUAUCUUCAUUUGAGUGAUGGAGGGACGCAGGAGGCAAAAGAAAGCAGACGAAUGGAAAGGUCUGUCCAAGCAGU
RNAcentral lists this ribosomal RNA (545 nucleotides) under Tetragenococcus halophilus. RNAcentral describes it as "partial 23S ribosomal RNA". It matches the Rfam family "Bacterial large subunit ribosomal RNA", at positions 974 to 1520 of the family's 2925-position model. Lineage: Bacteria; Bacillati; Bacillota; Bacilli; Lactobacillales; Enterococcaceae. The record is from RNAcentral.